UAGAAGAUAGAGUCCACUUUGGAGGGGAUCCCAGAAUAGAAAAAUGACAUUGAGGGACAAUGAGGAAACCUAGAUAAUUAGGUUUUAGUGCCAAAGAACCCUGCGUUCAUGGGGAAGAUGGUUGAAGUGGACAUCUAUGAAUCAGGCAAACAUUUUAUGAAAGGGCAGCCAGUAUCUGAUGCCAAAGUGUACACGCCCUCCAUCAGCAAACCGCUAGCAAAGGGAGAAGUCUCAGGUUUGACAAAGGACUUCAGAAAUGGGCUUGGGAACCAGCUGAGUUCAGGAUCCCACACCUCUGCUGCAUCUCAGUGUAACUCAGCGAGUUCCAGAAUGGUGCUGCCCAUGCCAAGGCUACAUCAAGACUGUGCGCUGAGGAUGUCUGUGGGCUUGGCUCUGCUGGGUCUUCUUUUUGCUUUUUUUGUCAAGGUCUAUAAUUAGAAUACAACUAAUGGAAACAUCUAUAAAGAAGAAUACAUUUCUAAUUAAAAUCUUCAAUGAACAGGAAAGCAACAUCUCCAUUCUCCAAGGGCAAUAAUUUGUACUGGUCAUGCUGCCUCCUUCUCAGCCACUCUUCUUAAUGAGGCUCCCCCUGUCUCACAUUGAGUUGGGCCCAUUGGUUAUUUGACCUAAAACCUAAUCACGGCUACCAUAGCACAUCCUUCAAAUUAAACUGCUUUUGGUUUACUUUUAGCAAGAAAUGCAAGCGGUUGCAUUUUUUCUGUUUGUUUCAAUCUCCAAUCUUUAAGUCAGAACCUAAUUGUACAGUGGCUCUGGCCAUCUUUUCCUCAUGUGGAAGAAUUUUCUAUCUAUCUUUAAUAAACUUUUUCUUUCUUUUUUUUUCC
This 842-nucleotide small RNA is filed under the name Pan troglodytes (chimpanzee). Its description in RNAcentral is "processed transcript". The record is from RNAcentral. Lineage: Eukaryota; Metazoa; Chordata; Mammalia; Primates; Hominidae.